AGUAACACGUGGAUAACCUACCUAUAAGACUGGGAUAACUUCGGGAAACCGGAGCUAAUACCGGAUAAUAUUUUGAACCGCAUGGUUCAAAAGUGAAAGACGGUCUUGCUGUCACUUAUAGAUGGAUCCGCGCUGCAUUAGCUAGUUGGUAAGGUAACGGCUUACCAAGGCAACGAUGCAUAGCCGACCUGAUAUGGUGAUCGGCCACACUGGAACUGAGACACGGUCCAG
Molecule: ribosomal RNA, 231 nt
Filed under: uncultured Staphylococcus sp.
Lineage: Bacteria; Bacillati; Bacillota; Bacilli; Caryophanales; Staphylococcaceae
Description: partial 16S ribosomal RNA
Rfam family: Bacterial small subunit ribosomal RNA
Source: RNAcentral